Molecule: long non-coding RNA, 532 nt
Filed under: Equus caballus (horse)
Lineage: Eukaryota; Metazoa; Chordata; Mammalia; Perissodactyla; Equidae
Description: lncRNA (ENSECAG00000059382.1)
Source: RNAcentral
UCAAGAUCCACGUGGGCAGAAACAGUUCUGAUCAUUUCCAGCAGUCUGGCAAACAGGAAGAUUAGCCCUGAGCGAACUACUGCCAAUCCUCCUCUUUUUACUGAGGAAGACUGGCCCUGAGCUAACAUCCGUGCCCAUCUUCCUCUACUUUAUACGUGGGAUGCCUACCACAGCAUAGUGUGCCAAGUGGUGCCAUGUCCACACCCGGGACCCGAACCGACGAAACCCGGGCCAUCGAGAAGCGGGACAUGCACACUUAACUGCUGCGCCACCAGGCCAGCCCCUCCAAGUCUUUAUUUUUAUACAAAGGUUAGCAUAGCAAAAUAUUAAUUUGUGCCUUACUUAUUAUUUUUUUUGAGGAAGAUUAGCCCUGAACUAACUGCUGCCAAUCCUCCUCUUUUUGCUGAGGAAGACUGGCCCUGAGCUGACAUCCGUACCCAUCUUCCUCUACUUUGUAUGUGGGACCCCUGCCACAGCAUGGCUUGCCAAGCGGUGCCAUGUCUGCACACGGGAUCCAAACUGGCAAAACCUG